This is a small nucleolar RNA of Ceratitis capitata (Mediterranean fruit fly), 80 nucleotides long. RefSeq annotates it as small nucleolar RNA U43. NCBI's taxonomy places the organism in Eukaryota, Metazoa, Arthropoda, Insecta, Diptera, Tephritidae. The record is from RefSeq and is a predicted model, not a curated record. The transcript has a single exon.
AUGAUGAGAGAAAGUUAAAAUUUUAUGGUUAGAACACAAUGAUUUCCAUGAUUUAAAUAUAACUAGGGCGAUCUGAUUUU